UACGUAGGUGGCUAGCGUUGUCCGGAUUUACUGGGCGUAAAGAGCGCGCAGGCGGUCGUUCAAGUCGAGUGUGAAAGCCCCCGGCUCAACUGGGGAGGGUCACUCGAUACUGAUCGACUUGAAGGCGGGAGAGGGAAGCGGAAUUCCCGGUGUAGUGGUGAAAUGCGUAGAUAUCGGGAAGAACACCCGUGGCGAAGGCGGCUCUCUGGGACGGUACUGACGCUGAGACGCGAAAGCGUGGGGAGCGAACAGG
This 253-nucleotide ribosomal RNA is filed under the name uncultured bacterium. RNAcentral describes it as "partial 16S ribosomal RNA". It matches the Rfam family "Bacterial small subunit ribosomal RNA", at positions 524 to 776 of the family's 1533-position model. The record is from RNAcentral.